UGACACCUAGCAGUAUAUAGUGACAACUCAGUAGAACUAAAAUAAACCUUUAGGUGUAGUUAACUUAUGUUUAGUCCCUCUAUCGUGAGUCCCGACUAGAUGGCAGGUCAUAGAUAAAUCAUCAAACCUCAAUAUAAGUUAUAUGAUAGAUUCGAUUAGCUCAAGUCCAGUUGUGACUUCUAUAAAAACUCUUUUUCAUCAAUCAUACUACUGUGGCCAUAGACACAUGGACUUAGUCUCUCAAAUU
This 247-nucleotide long non-coding RNA is filed under the name Elaeis guineensis (African oil palm). RNAcentral's name for it is "long non-coding RNA (EGUI_LNC060681)". The record is from RNAcentral. Lineage: Eukaryota; Viridiplantae; Streptophyta; Magnoliopsida; Arecales; Arecaceae.